RNAcentral lists this ribosomal RNA (1371 nucleotides) under uncultured bacterium. RNAcentral's name for it is "bacterial SSU rRNA". It matches the Rfam family "Bacterial small subunit ribosomal RNA". The record is from RNAcentral.
AGAGUUUGAUCCUGGCUCAGGACGAACGCUGGCGGCGCGCCUAACACAUGCAAGUCGAACGAGAGAGAGGGAGCUUGCUUCCUCAAUCGAGUGGCGAACGGGUGAGUAACGCGUGAGGAACCUGCCUCAAAGAGGGGGACAACAGUUGGAAACGACUGCUAAUACCGCAUAAGCCCACAGGUCGGCAUCGACCAGAGGGAAAAGGAGCAAUCCGCUUUGAGAUGGCCUCGCGUCCGAUUAGCUAGUUGGUGAGGUAACGGCCCACCAAGGCAACGAUCGGUAGCCGGACUGAGAGGUUGAACGGCCACAUUGGGACUGAGACACGGCCCAGACUCCUACGGGAGGCAGCAGUGGGGAAUAUUGCACAAUGGGGGAAACCCUGAUGCAGCGACGCCGCGUGGAGGAAGAAGGUCUUCGGAUUGUAAACUCCUGUUGUUGAGGAAGAUAAUGACGGUACUCAACAAGGAAGUGACGGCUAACUACGUGCCAGCAGCCGCGGUAAAACGUAGGUCACAAGCGUUGUCCGGAAUUACUGGGUGUAAAGGGAGCGCAGGCGGGAAGACAAGUUGGAAGUGAAAUCUAUGGGCUCAACCCAUAAACUGCUUUCAAAACUGUUUUUCUUGAGUAGUGCAGAGGUAGGCGGAAUUCCCGGUGUAGCGGUGGAAUGCGUAGAUAUCGGGAGGAACACCAGUGGCGAAGGCGGCCUACUGGGCACCAACUGACGCUGAGGCUCGAAAGUGUGGGUAGCAAACCAGGAUUAGAUACCCUGGUAGUCCACACCGUAAACGAUGAUUACUAGGUGUUGGAGGAUUGACCCCUUCAGUGCCGCAGUUAACACAAUAAGUAAUCCACCUGGGGAGUACGACCGCAAGGUUGAAACUCAAAGGAAUUGACGGGGGCCCGCACAAGCAGUGGAGUAUGUGGUUUAAUUCGACGCAACGCGAAGAACCUUACCAAGUCUUGACAUCCUGCGACGAUGCUGGAAACAGUAUUUUCCUUCGGGACGCAGAGACAGGUGGUGCAUGGUUGUCGUCAGCUCGUGUCGUGAGAUGUUGGGUUAAGUCCCGCAACGAGCGCAACCCUUACUGUCAGUUACUACGCAAGAGGACUCUGGCAGGACUGCCGUUGACAAAACGGAGGAAGGUGGGGAUGACGUCAAAUCAUCAUGCCCUUUAUGACUUGGGCUACACACGUACUACAAUGGCGUUAAACAAAGAGAAGCAAGACCGCGAGGUGGAGCAAAACUCAGAAACAACGUCCCAGUUCGGACUGCAGGCUGCAACUCGCCUGCACGAAGUCGGAAUUGCUAGUAAUCGUGGAUCAGCAUGCCACGGUGAAUACGUUCCCGGGCCUUGCACACACCGCCCGUCA